This 991-nucleotide ribosomal RNA is filed under the name Salmonella enterica. RNAcentral describes it as "partial 23S ribosomal RNA". It matches the Rfam family "Bacterial large subunit ribosomal RNA", at positions 711 to 1616 of the family's 2925-position model. Lineage: Bacteria; Pseudomonadati; Pseudomonadota; Gammaproteobacteria; Enterobacterales; Enterobacteriaceae. The record is from RNAcentral.
AGACCCGAAACCCGGUGAUCUAGCCAUGGGCAGGUUGAAGGUUGGGUAACACUAACUGGAGGACCGAACCGACUAAUGUUGAAAAAUUAGCGGAUGACCUGUGGCUGGGGGUGAAAGGCCAAUCAAACCGGGAGAUAGCUGGUUCUCCCCGAAAGCUAUUUAGGUAGCGCCUCGUGAAUUCAUCUCCGGGGGUAGAGCACUGUUUCGGCUAGGGGGCCAUCCCGGCUUACCAACCCGAUGCAAACUGCGAAUACCGGAGAAUGUUAUCACGGGAGACACACGGCGGGUGCUAACGUCCGUCGUGAAGAGGGAAACAACCCAGACCGCCAGCUAAGGUCCCAAAGUCAUGGUUAAGUGGGAAACGAUGUGGGAAGGCCCAGACAGCCAGGAUGUUGGCUUAGAAGCAGCCAUCAUUUAAAGAAAGCGUAAUAGCUCACUGGUCGAGUCGGCCUGCGCGGAAGAUGUAACGGGGCUAAACCAUGCACCGAAGCUGCGGCAGCGAACGUAUCACCCAAGACAACUUUACGGAGUUGACGAUUGACGGAGCGAAGCGACGUCAAAGCGUUCAUUAAAGUCGAGUUGGCUUAGGGAUACGUUCGUUGGGUAGGGGAGCGUUCUGUAAGCCUGUGAAGGUGGCCUGUGAGGGUUGCUGGAGGUAUCAGAAGUGCGAAUGCUGACAUAAGUAACGAUAAAGCGGGUGAAAAGCCCGCUCGCCGGAAGACCAAGGGUUCCUGUCCAACGUUAAUCGGGGCAGGGUGAGUCGACCCCUAAGGCGAGGCCGAAAGGCGUAGUCGAUGGGAAACGGGUUAAUAUUCCCGUACUUGGUGUUACUGCGAAGGGGGGACGGAGAAGGCUAUGUUGGCCGGGCGACGGUUGUCCCGGUUUAAGCGUGUAGGUGUGUGUUCCAGGUAAAUCCGGUUCACUUUAACACUGAGGCGUGAUGACGAGGCACUACGGUGCUGAAGCAACAAAUGCCCUGCUUCCAGGAAAA